AUUGAACGCUGGCGGCAGGCCUAACACAUGCAAGUCGAACGGUAACAGGAAGAAGCUUGCUUCUUUGCUGACGAGUGGCGGACGGGUGAGUAAUGUCUGGGAAAAUGCCUGAUGGAGGGGGAUAACUACUGGAAACGGUAGCUAAUACCGCAUAACGUCGCAAGACCAAAGAGGGGGACCUUCGGGCCUCUUGCCAUCGGAUGUGCCCAGAUGGGAUUAGCUAGUAGGUGGGGUAACGGCUCACCUAGGCGACGAUCCCUAGCUGGUCUGAGAGGAUGACCAGCCACACUGGAACUGAGACACGGUCCAGACUCCUACGGGAGGCAGCAGUGGGGAAUAUUGCACAAUGGGCGCAAGCCUGAUGCAGCCAUGCCGCGUGUAUGAAGAAGGCCUUCGGGUUGUAAAGUACUUUCAGCGGGGAGGAAGGGAGUAAAGUUAAUACCUUUGCUCAUUGACGUUACCCGCAGAAGAAGCACCGGCUAACUCCGUG
This 490-nucleotide ribosomal RNA is filed under the name uncultured bacterium. RNAcentral describes it as "partial 16S ribosomal RNA". It matches the Rfam family "Bacterial small subunit ribosomal RNA", at positions 30 to 507 of the family's 1533-position model. The record is from RNAcentral.